UACAGAGGUCCCAAGCGUUGUUCGGAUUCACUGGGCGUAAAGGGUGCGUAGGCGGUCGGGUAAGUCUGAUGUGAAAUCUCACAGCUUAACUGUGAAACUGCAUUGGAUACUAUCCGGCUUGAGCAAGCUAGGGGGCAAUGGAAUUCCCGGUGUAGUGGUGGAAUGCGUAGAUAUCGGGAGGAACACCAGUGGCGAAGGCGGUUGCCUGGGGCUUUGCUGACGCUGAUGCGCGAAAGCGUGGGGAGCGAUCCGG
RNAcentral lists this ribosomal RNA (253 nucleotides) under uncultured bacterium. Its description in RNAcentral is "partial 16S ribosomal RNA". It matches the Rfam family "Bacterial small subunit ribosomal RNA", at positions 524 to 776 of the family's 1533-position model. The record is from RNAcentral.